RNAcentral lists this long non-coding RNA (4246 nucleotides) under Salvia miltiorrhiza (redroot sage). RNAcentral describes it as "long non-coding RNA (SMIL_LNC007121)". The record is from RNAcentral. Lineage: Eukaryota; Viridiplantae; Streptophyta; Magnoliopsida; Lamiales; Lamiaceae.
CGGCAUUUCUAUCUUCGCAGCGUCUUCUUCUAUAUGCGUUUUGCGUCCGCCUCUUUCGGUCGCCGUCGCCAGCCUCGCUUCGCCUAGGAAUCUCUGCAGAAGCAGCCUGUGCCCCACCUCGUCUCAGUGCGCCGCUUCACGCUCCAGCAUUUCCCGUCGUCAGGCCUCCUUCGACCUCGGCGCAGAACCAGCAUCAACGCCGCCCCCCAGCCAAACAGCCGGGCCAACAGCAGGUAAAUCACCUCUUUCUUCAAAUUAGACACCUCCGUUGCAAAUUAGAUCACAUUUCUCAUAUAUAUAGAGAUAUAUGGAUGAGUCUUUUCUGCCAUUAGCCAUCUUAUUAAUUUGGAUUAGUGCCGCAGGCUUCUCUAUUUCGUGAGAGGAGGAGGCAAGAGAGAAGAUAUAGUAGGUUUUGGAUAACAUCUGCAGACUUUGAGAGAAGGAAGAGAAGAGAAAGGCCUGCAGCAGCACCCGCUGCAAAUUUCCUCUAUUUCGCGAGUGAGAGAGAUAGAGGGAAAAGUCAUGGGUAAGAGAGCCAAGAGUUCAAGGAAGGGAAAGAAAGAAUGGAGGGCUAACAUAAGCACUGAAGAUAUAGAAGAUUAUUUUGAGAAAUCCACAAAAGACGCUCUUUCCGGUGGUUCUUUGGCUGAUGUGCCCAGUGAUUCUCUUUUCUUCGUUGAUAAAUCCAGAGGUAUAAGAAUCUUAAAAUUUUUAGAAGGUUGUGUUUAAUUGUACAUAUGAUACAGAAAAAUUCGAUGAUAUUCAAUUGAUUUUUUGAUAGGGUUUUAGAAAUUUAGUGAGAAAUUGAUACUUCUAGGUUAUGGAGUAUCACCGUUGAGAACUUUUAGUAUUCUUUUUUGGACGAAAGCAGCUCUAUGAAGUUAUGUACUGUUUCUUAAAGAAAACUAUGUUGGGACUGAAAGUUCUAAUCUGUGAAGUUAUAUAUUGUUUCUAAAAGAAGAGUAUUUUAAGAGUGGAAGUUGUAAUCUCCAAUGAGAUUGGUAGGAAGUCAUGAAUUGCUUUAAAAAAGUUGUCAGACUGAUAUUGGAUCCUGUAAUUGAUAGUUAGAGCUUUUCCUAUCCGAAACUAGUUAAUAUAUUCUUUUGUAUGAUGUGAUGGAGUUUUUCAUUUCUUGAAGGGGCCCAAUUCACUUGGGUUUUAUCUUAUUUCUUAACGAACUGUUUGGAUGUAUAAUAUGUAACUAGUGGCCAUGUUGCGAUCUUCUUGAGAAUCACGAUCAUUUUAACAAAAUGGAGAUUUUUAUUUGCAGAUCUUUCUAUUAAGCGGAAGAUUGAGAAAAACAGAGAGAAAGUAUUGCGAUGUGAUAGUCUGUUGCAGAGAAACCCUUUUAUUAAAGCUAUUCCGUCCUCUAUACAGAAUAAGAAAAAGUCCAAGAGAAAGGGUAAAGCUUUACCAACAGCAGCAGAUGAAAAUGUUGCACAGGGCAGCCUGAAGGUUAGUUUUCUUGGGAAAUUCUUUUAGAGUGAUUCUGCAAGUGAAUUAGUGAGGCUAAUUCUUAUAUUUCUAAUCCAAUCAUUUCAGGAUGAAAGUGCACAUGAUUCUGGAGUUCUUGACUUGUGGGAAGAGAAAGGUAACUCUAUGUGUGUGUAUGCAUAUUAAUACAUCCAUAUAGGUUGCUAUUUCUAUCGGCUGUGGUUUGCAACUACCAUUUGUUAUUUCUAAUAGAAUUUGCUAUUUCACUUUUGCAGGAGAAGUCAAGGCCAAAAUAAAAAAGGUAUAACAUAAUUUGUUGUGCACUUUUGGUUCUGCUUGUGUAACCAAUUAUAUUGUUCAAGGAAUCAUUAUUUGAUGAGUAUUGCAUGUUAGAGAUUCUGUAUAGUUUCUUAGCUGUCUCUGUACGCAUUAGUAACUUCUUGAAGUUAGUACUGAGUAAUGUAGUUCACUAGAACAUGAGAUUCUUUUAGAAUCUAUGGGGUUUAUUUAACAGUUAAUCAUGACAGAAGCCCAAGUCUUGCGUUAUUCCUGCUGUUGAGGUUGAACAUCCUGGAUGUUCAUUCAAUCCUCACCCUGAGAGCCAUCAGGUUGGUGUCAAUCUUUUACCUAUGCAAUUUCAUCAUUUUUCUUUCUAUUAAUGGUUGAACCUUACACUCUGUUAUAAUAGGACGCUUUAGCUCGUGCUGUUGCAGAUGAAAUGCAGAAAAUUUACCAACAUGAGUUGGGGCCUCAGCCCAUCCCUUUAGUUGUCCCUGGUGAAGCUAUUGAUGAAGAAUAUGUUCGUACCUCAUCCCGAACUGGUUACCUGAAGUUGAAAUGAAUAUUACCCCUCCAUAUUCACGUGCUUUCACUUACUUGCUUAUGAAGUUUUCAUGCAUUUCCCUCUUAUAUGCAUCAGAAAUAUUUUCUCGAGGCAGAUGCGGAUGAUGGAACUGAUGAGGAUGAUGAUGAACAAAGUGAAAAUCAGGCUGAUGAUGCAGAUGUGGAUGCAGAAAAAAGGUGAGCGUCUUUUCUUUUACUUGGUUUCUUUGAAUAAUCCAUUAUGUUUGUUUCCUUUUCUGCAAGGAUAAUUGGACAAGUAGCUUUGCUUUGUAAAAUUAUGGGUUCUGGUGUCUGGUGUGGUGUCCAUAUUGAGCAUCUAUCUUUUGGUGUUAGUGGAGUCAUUUUUCAGAGUUAAAUUGAUCCAUAUGAUAUUAAUUUUCUCAAUUUAAAUUGUCAAAGAAAGGUGAAUAUCACUAAUUGUGAUGGAAACUAUGCAGCUCUCAGAAAACCAAAAGGGUAACUCGGGUAGAGUUUAACCGGAGAGCUAGACGAAAGGAACAGUUGAGAAUUGAAGCAGAAGCCAAAAAAGUGAAGGGACUUUCAAAAGACAUAGACAGGUAAAAGAGAUCAUUUCUGCUAAUAUAUCUCCAAUCCAAGAUAGUUGUGCUUUACUCAAAAAGCACUAAAUUGGUUCUCUGCUGCAAAUAGUUUACCGGAAAUAAUGCAAGAAAUUGCGAAAGAGGAUGAAGAGAAACAUAAGAGACAUCUUCGGCGGAUUGUUGCUAAACAAGAAAGAUUGAAAGCUCGUCCAUCUCGCUUGGGAAAGUACAAGUAUGGCGUUAUAUAAGCAUUUUUAUGACGUUUUAUCUUCUAUGCAUGUGAAGUUCUGUUGAAAUAGGAAGCAACCACAACUACAUAGAUGAAAUGUUCUUGAUUAUUUUUACCUAUACUAAGGCAUUGAUCAUAUCCUUAUCUCUUAUCUUGCAUAUAUAUUUAUCAUAAGUUNGUUCGGAAUUAUAUGAUACUCACAAUUCAAUUAUGAUUUUUCAAACUCCAUAUAAAAUUAUGGUCAAAAAGCAAAAUAAAAAAAUUGAACAAAAUUAAUAAAUCUUGUAACAACAAAUGGAACAAAUCAAUCCUCCAUCAUACCUAUGUCAAAUUUAUAUGUAUUUCUACUCUUUUUUUUUUCUUACGCGUCAACUUUUUAUAAAAAUUUCAUAUGAAAACUAAUGGGUAUUUUUAUGAUCUCAACAAAAUUAAUAAUUUAAUUGCUAAAAGUUGUUGAGAUUAAUAUAAUUUAAAAUGUAUUACUUAAUUUAAUUUAAUUAAUUAUAUAAAUAAUUUACAUAAAAAAUUAUUUUAUAUAAUUAUCAUAAGAAUAACAUAAAAUAUAUAAAUUACAAAAAAAUAUGUACCCGUCGAAACUUCGACGGGUAAUACACUAGUACUCGUGUAAUACUAACUGGAAAACCUCAUUCACCAUAGAAAAAAAGUAAAUUUCAUAGACCCAACGUAAAAGGAAAGUCAUCUUCAGUUAAUCGGUCAUCUCAUAUGUAUCAAAAUAUUUUUUUUUUCACCAUUUAUUUGAUAUUGUGAAAAGGGGGUAUGCUUAUGAAUUAAGUAAUACAAUAAAUUCUAGUAUCGAAAUUUUAAUUUUCAAACGCGGAGUAUAAUUUUAUGAAGACAAAAAUAACAAUUUUACUAAGCAUAAGAAAUAAUUACUAUAUUUUUCUAACCCAAAACAAGUGUAUGGCCCAAGCCCAAUACUUUAUGGGUUAGAAACCCUUUUCAAAAGCGGCAUUUCUAUCUUCGCAGCGUCUUCUUCUAUAUGCAUUUUGCGUCCGCCUCUUUCGGUCGCCGUCGCCAGCCUCGCUUCGCCUAGGAAUCUCUGCAGAAGCAGCCUGUGCCCCACCUCGUCUCAGUGCGCCGCUUCACGCUCCAGCAUUUCCCGUCGUCAGGCCUCCUCCAACCUCGGCGCAGAACCAGCAUCAACGCCACCCCCCAGCCAAACAGCCGGGCCAACAGCAGG